UACGUAGGGUGCAAGCGUUGUCCGGAAUUAUUGGGCGUAAAGGGCUCGUAGGCGGUUUGUCGCGUCGGGAGUGAAAACUUGGGGGCUUAACCCCCAAGCCUGCUUCCGAUACGGGCAGACUUGAGUACUGCAGGGGAGACUGGAAUUCCUGGUGUAGCGGUGAAAUGCGCAGAUAUCAGGAGGAACACCGGUGGCGAAGGCGGGUCUCUGGGCAGUAACUGACGCUGAGGAACGAAAGCGUGGGUAGCAAACAGG
RNAcentral lists this ribosomal RNA (255 nucleotides) under uncultured bacterium. RNAcentral describes it as "partial 16S ribosomal RNA". It matches the Rfam family "Bacterial small subunit ribosomal RNA", at positions 524 to 776 of the family's 1533-position model. The record is from RNAcentral.